AGAUAUUGAAUAAAUGAUUAAAUAAUUUCGUAAUGAAUGAAUGACACACACAAGAGGCUAAGCAUAGAUAGCACUUAUGUCUGUCAAACUCUCUGGUUUACAAAACACUUCACAAGCCUUAUCUCAUCCUGACUUUACAGGUGCAGACAUGAAGGCUCUGAGACAUCCAGUGGACUCUUAAGUCCCAACCAGCGGCAAAUGGUAUGGCUCCAUUCUUACAAACUGGCCAGACCUCAGCGUAUCCUGAUGGCCCACGUCUGUGUACCUCAAUCAAGCUCUCACCACUUCCUUGGCGCUGGG
Long non-coding RNA from Myotis lucifugus (little brown bat), 300 nucleotides. RefSeq lists it as uncharacterized. The transcript has 3 exons. Lineage: Eukaryota; Metazoa; Chordata; Mammalia; Chiroptera; Vespertilionidae. The record is from RefSeq and is a predicted model, not a curated record.